AGCGGCUCAGAUUGAACGCUGGCGGGAUGCUUUACACAUGCAAGUCGAACGGCAGCACGGACUUCGGUCUGGUGGCGAGGUGCGAACGGGUGAGUAAUGUAUCGGAACGUGCCUAGUAGCGGGGAUAACUACGCGAAAGCGUAGCUAAUACUGCAUAUACUGGGGAAAGCGGGGGGACCUUCGGGCCUCGCACUAUUAGAGCGGCUGAGAUUGAUUAGCUAGUUGGUGGGUAACGGUCACUUAAGGCGACGAUCCGUAGCUGGUUUGAGAGGACACCAGCCACACGGGACUGGAGACACGGCCCAGACUCCGCUGGGAGGCAGUGGGGAAUUUUGGACAAUGGGGAAACCCCGGGAUCCAGCCAUCCCCGCGUGUGCGAUGAAGGGCCUUCGGGUUGUAAAGCACUUUUGGCAGGAGAAACGGUACGGAGGGUCACUCCCUGUGCAACUGACGGUACCUGCAGAAUAAGCGCAAAUUUCCGCCAACCAUGCCAGCAGCCGCGGUAAUACGUAGGGGUGCAAGCGUUAAUCGGAAUGAUUAGCGCAAAAGCGCGCAGGCGGUUCGGAAAGAAAGAUGUGAAAUCCCAGAGCUUAACUUUGAAACUGCAUUUUUAAAACUACCGAGCGAGUGUGUCAGAGGGAGGUGUGAAUUCCGCGUAGCAGUGAAAUGCGUAGAUGCGGAGGAGUUCACCGAUGGCGAAGGCAGCCUCCUGGGAUAACACUGACGCUCAUGCACGAAAGCGUGGGGAGCAAACAGGAUUAGAUGGCCCUGAGUCCACGCCCUAAACGAUGUCAAUUUCGUCUGCUGUUGGGGCCUUCUGGUGUACCGUAGUAGUGCAGCUAACGGCGUGAAGUUGACUUCCGCCUGGGAGUAGAUGGUCGCAAGAUUAAAAACUCAAAGGAAUUGAUUUAAAGACCGCACAAGCGGUGGAUGAUGUGAUUAAUUCGAUGCAACGCGAAAAACCUUACCUACCCUUGACAUGUCUGGAAUCCCGAAGAGAUUUGGGAGUGCUCGCAAGAGAACCGGAACACAGGUGCUGCAUGGUUGUCGUCAGCUCGUGUCGAGAUGUUGGGUUGGGUCCCGCACUGAGUGGCAACCUUGUCAUUAGUUGCUACGAAAGGGCACUCUAAUGAGAUCGUCGGUGACAAACCGGAGGAAGGUGGGGAUGACGUCAAGUCCUCAUGGCCCUUAUGGGUAGGGCUUCACACGUCAUACAAUGGUCGGGACAGAGGGUCGCCAAACCAGGGGAGCCAAUCCCAGAAACCCGGAUUCAGUCCGAUCGUAGUCUGCAACUCGACUGCAGAAGUCGGAAUCGCUAGUAAUCGCGGAUCAGCAUGUCGCGGUGAAUACGUUCCCGGGUCUUGUACACACCGCCCGUCACACCAUGAGUGGGUUUUACCAGAAGUAGUUAGCCUAACCGUAAGGAGGGCGAUUACCACGGUAGGAUUCAUGACUGGGGUGAAGUCGUAACAAGGUAG
Molecule: ribosomal RNA, 1478 nt
Filed under: uncultured Bordetella sp.
Lineage: Bacteria; Pseudomonadati; Pseudomonadota; Betaproteobacteria; Burkholderiales; Alcaligenaceae
Description: partial 16S-23S ribosomal RNA intergenic spacer
Rfam family: Bacterial small subunit ribosomal RNA
Source: RNAcentral